Molecule: ribosomal RNA, 497 nt
Filed under: uncultured bacterium
Lineage: Bacteria
Description: partial 16S ribosomal RNA
Rfam family: Bacterial small subunit ribosomal RNA
Source: RNAcentral
GACGAACGCUGGCGGCGUGCCUAAUACAUGCAAGUUGAGCGCUGAAGGUUGGUACUUGUACCAACUGGAUGAGCAGCGAACGGGUGAGUAACGCGUGGGGAAUCUGCCUUUGAGCGGGGGACAACAUUUGGAAACGAAUGCUAAUACCGCAUAAAAACUUUAAACACAAGUUUUAAGUUUGAAAGAUGCAAUUGCAUCACUCAAAGAUGAUCCCGCGUUGUAUUAGCUAGUUGGUGAGGUAAGGGCUCACCAAGGCGAUGAUACAUAGCCGACCUGAGAGGGUGAUCGGCCACAUUGGGACUGAGACACGGCCCAAACUCCUACGGGAGGCAGCAGUAGGGAAUCUUCGGCAAUGGACGAAAGUCUGACCGAGCAACGCCGCGUGAGUGAAGAAGGGUUUCGGAUCGUAAAAAUCUGUUGGUAGAGAAGAACGUUGGUGAGAGUGGAAAGCUCAUCAAGUGACGGUAACUACCCAGAAAGGGACGGCUAACUACGUG